GACAGAGGGUGCGAACGUUGUUCGGAAUUAUUGGGCGUAAAGAGCUCGUAGGCGGUCUGUCGCGUCGGCUGUGAAAUCUCGGGGCUCAACCCCGAGCCUGCAGUCGAUACGGGCAGACUAGAGUGCUGUAGGGGAGACUGGAAUUCCUGGUGUAGCGGUGAAAUGCGCAGAUAUCAGGAGGAACACCGGUGGCGAAGGCGGGUCUCUGGGCAGUAACUGACGCUGAGGAGCGAAAGCGUGGGGAGCAAACAGG
Molecule: ribosomal RNA, 253 nt
Filed under: uncultured bacterium
Lineage: Bacteria
Description: partial 16S ribosomal RNA
Rfam family: Bacterial small subunit ribosomal RNA
Source: RNAcentral